CGCGGCCGUGUGUAGGCAGCGGAGCGGCUGCGGAGCGGCGGCGGCGGUGGCGUCGGGAGCCCCGGCCCCGCGAUAAAAGGGAAGGGGCCGGGCGGCGGGCGGCGCGCGUUGCGGCACUGGGGGGAGCGUGGCCGGGAAGGAGGGAGGGAGCGAAGGAGCCGCCUCCCGCAGGAAUCCCGGGCAGGCGGCAGUAGCAGCGGCGGCAGCCGGGACGCGCGGCUCCCCCUGCCUGCGCGGCGGCAGGAGGCGGGUGAGCAUCGAGGAGCAGCCGCCGCCUCAUCCUGCGGCAGCGGCCGGCGCUGCCCGGCGAGCGCAGGUGGCAGUGUAGAAGCCAAGAACAAAAAUUGGCAGAAAUUAUAUUCUGUAUACGAGAGAAUGAAGAGUAUACUCAUGACUAAGCACAGGAACCUGGAAAACCACAGGAUUCCUGGGAAGCCACGGAGGAUGGGGUGAACUCAGAGCUGGAGCAUGAGGAGUUCUUUGGAACUUGUGAAUGGGAAGUUAUCCUGGCUUUGGUCAGGUGAUCCACAGUGACCGGUCAGCCCACCAAGAAGAUACCUCAGCAACCAGGUCUUUGAAGUGACCAUUGGUUUCAGUUGUGAUAGUUUGGCUGUUCUCGAAGACUUCUAGAAGACACUGACAGAAAUGAAGCAGGUUGGCACAUUGGCAUAAACACAGGUAUGGCAGAGGCAGCGGGCACCAGGCCAGAACCUGUCCCGCCAGACACUGUCCAGCCAGAACGGGGAACUUCAGCUGAUGCAGGAGCUCCUGAGCGGGUGUUGACUUCUUGUUCACAGGCAUCUCUGGAGGUGUUCCUGAAGCAUGUAGCUGUGGUACUUACGGAUGUGGUUUAGUGGUUGAUAUAUUGGUGAUAGGUGGGCAGUUGGACUAGGUGAUCUUAGAGGUCUUUUCCAACCGUAAUGAUUCUAUGAUUCUAAAGUACUCCCACCUCAGGUUACCCAAGAGAUCCUCUGCUUUCUUCUUCCCCCAACACGUCUGUGGGACAUUGCAGCAGCUGCGGAAUUCUCAUCAGAAACAAGUGUUGUGUCCCUCUGAGAAUCAUGUCCCUGAGGCCCAUGGUUCACCAGUCAGCUGACUUCCACAGCACGCUGGAUAUGAGUCCUUUCUGCACAGAUUUUUGCUGGGCACAUGCAGGGGACUUAGUAUGGGAAAGAUCUGGACUUGUUUAGGGGGAGGAAUUGAUUCCAAAUGAUGUCUUGCUUUAGGUUUAUGGUGUUUUUCAGACAAUGAAUUAAAUACUGUUUUCUCCAUACUAGAGGCUUGGAAGCAACAUCUCUCUAACUUUUUAGUUACCAGAAUCAGUGCUUUCUUACUUAGUACAAGGAAACACAUGUCCUUGGUUAUCUAUCCAGCUAAUAAUUAAUAAUGCUUGGUUGUUUUUCCCCCCAUGUAUCUAUGCUGACCUCUUUAGAAAGAGAUUUUAUAUUCUGAGCCCCUUAUGUAUUUUUCCAUAUCACGUAUUUGAAUGAUUAUUCCAAAGUGCAAAACCUCCAGUGUCUAGCACACAAUUUUCCAAUACUUCAUCUUACCCUCACAGGAAAGGACAAUUAAAGAAAUAUUGAGUGUUUUUCUGUUUGCAUUUUUCAUUAAAUAGGUUUUCUUAACUAGAAUGUCAGAGUAUCUGUGUUAGUGAAGCGUGUCUUCCAUGUGCUUUCAUCCUCAAGGUAGCUCCAACUGACAAAAUUACAUGGGGACUAACACCUACUUUUCAUUAUUGGCAGUAGUUUGCUUACAGCUGGACCAAAAGGGCACCUAACAGAUUAAGCUAG
This 1790-nucleotide long non-coding RNA is filed under the name Gallus gallus (chicken). The record is from RNAcentral. Lineage: Eukaryota; Metazoa; Chordata; Aves; Galliformes; Phasianidae.